GAGUUUGAUCAUGGCUCAGAUUGAACGCUGGCGGCAGGCCUAACACAUGCAAGUCGGGCGGUAGAGAGAAGCUUGCUUCUCUUGAGAGCGGCGGACGGGUGAGUAAUGCCUAGGAAUCUGCCUGGUAGUGGGGGAUAACGCUCGGAAACGGACGCUAAUACCGCAUACGUCCUACGGGAGAAAGCAGGGGACCUUCGGGCCUUGCGCUAUCAGAUGAGCCUAGGUCGGAUUAGCUAGUUGGUGAGGUAAUGGCUCACCAAGGCGACGAUCCGUAACUGGUCUGAGAGGAUGAUCAGUCACACUGGAACUGAGACACGGUCCAGACUCCUACGGGAGGCAGCAGUGGGGAAUAUUGGACAAUGGGCGAAAGCCUGAUCCAGCCAUGCCGCGUGUGUGAAGAGGGUCUUCGGAUUGUAAAGCACUUUAAGUUGGGAGGAAGGGCAGUAAAUUAAUACUUUGCUGUUUGACGUUACCGACAGAAUAAGCACCGGCUAACUCUGUGCCAGCCG
Molecule: ribosomal RNA, 509 nt
Filed under: uncultured bacterium
Lineage: Bacteria
Description: bacterial SSU rRNA
Rfam family: Bacterial small subunit ribosomal RNA
Source: RNAcentral